RNAcentral lists this ribosomal RNA (376 nucleotides) under uncultured bacterium. RNAcentral describes it as "bacterial SSU rRNA". It matches the Rfam family "Bacterial small subunit ribosomal RNA", at positions 524 to 898 of the family's 1533-position model. The record is from RNAcentral.
UACGGAGGUUGCGAGCGUUGUUCGGAAUAACUGGGCGUAAAGGGAGCGCAGGCGGUUCGGCAAGUCUAAAGUGGAAGCCCGGGGCUUAACCUCGGAAGUGCUUUGGAUACUACCGGACUCGAGUUCGUAAGAGGAAAGCGGAAUUCCAGGUGUAGCGGUGAAAUGCGUAGAUAUCUGGAGGAACACCGGUGGCGAAAGCGGCUUUCUGGUACGAUACUGACGCUGAGGCUCGAAAGCAUGGGUAGCAAACGGGAUUAGAUACCCCGGUAGUCCAUGCCGUAAACGUUGUGCACUAGGUGUGGGAGGUAUCGACCCCUUCCGUGCCGCAGCUAACGCAUUAAGUGCACCGCCUGGGGAGUACGGUCGCAAGACUGAA